GGAGGACUCAAUGGAAAAAAACACCUACCUCUCAUGAUGAAGAGCUCAGUAAAAGGGCAAGAGAAGGAAGGGAACAAAUAGAGCCACAGCGACGGCCCGAGGCGGCAUCCAUCACGGUUGAGUGAGGAGAAAAAACACCAUGUGCAGCUCAAUAAAAGAGCAGGACGCUCCUCUAUUCAGAGGCCUUUAGCUACAAAACCACAGCUCAGCACACGCCCCACCAUUUAACCUGCGUGGUGUUGAAGCACGGCGAUCCCAGACCCAGAUCAUAAAAGCGCUUCCUGUUCAGGCAGACACAACCUCAAGGCGCUCAGCGGAGAAUCCAGGUCGAGGUUGAGAUACAGAGCGAUGAUGGAGUGUGCUUUCUUUCAGCUGACUUCACGUCCACGUUGCUGGAAAACAUCCUCACCAUCACACAAAAGGGAUGCCCGAGUGUUUGCAUUGAUUUUCUGAGAUGUUAGUGUUAACAGAGAUGAAGACGGGGGAAUAUUUACAGUCUAAGAAGCAAUAAUAAAGCCUCUUAUGUAAUGUGCAAAGCAGCUGCAAUGUUUGCUUCAUUUGGCAAUCUGGACUCAAUGCUGAUGUAGAAGAAAUGAAACCGCUCCAGGGGGAUGAAGACCAUAAGGUCCCAUUUCUGAGGGGCGGAGUUAGUGAUACACGCCAGCAGAGAAGGAAGAGCUCCCUUUAGUUCAUUAAAGCCAUCUCAUUCAUCAUUCAUUCGGUCCAGGAGCUUCUUCACAUCGUAGGUCAAAGGUUAUCCGCCUUGUUGAAAGGAAAACAAGCAGAUGAACUCUUAACCAAGAUCUGAACUCAAGCUAAACCUCACCUCAAAGUGAACUUGUGGGUCAGGCUCAGUGUGCAGAGGGUAGAAGGAAAAACAAGUCUGACAUGCCUCCACCUUUGACUCAGAUAAGAGGAUGGAGCUGAUGCAGUAGAGGCUUUAAUGUGCAUUCUUACAAACAACCAGGAGGGGGCGACUUCUCUGGUUCUUCUCAGUACCUUUGUUUCCUCGUGUUUUUAUGAUCUCAAUCACUGAGGUCUUACACUGCUUCUU
This is a long non-coding RNA of Notolabrus celidotus (New Zealand spotty), 1054 nucleotides long. RefSeq lists it as uncharacterized. Lineage: Eukaryota; Metazoa; Chordata; Actinopteri; Labriformes; Labridae. The transcript is spliced from 3 exons. The record is from RefSeq and is a predicted model, not a curated record.